This 253-nucleotide ribosomal RNA is filed under the name uncultured microorganism. RNAcentral's name for it is "partial 16S ribosomal RNA". It matches the Rfam family "Bacterial small subunit ribosomal RNA", at positions 524 to 776 of the family's 1533-position model. The record is from RNAcentral.
UACGGAGGGUGCAAGCGUUAAUCGGAAUUACUGGGCGUAAAGGGCGCGUAGGCGGCCUGGUAAGUCAGGGGUGAAAUCCCACGGCUCAACCGUGGAAUUGCCUUUGAAACUGCUGGGCUUGGAUCCUGGAGAGGGUGGCGGAAUUCCUGGUGUAGGAGUGAAAUCCGUAGAUAUCAGGAGGAACACCGGUGGCGAAGGCGGCCACCUGGACAGGUAUCGACGCUGAGGCGCGAAAGUGUGGGGAGCAAACAGG